Myotis brandtii (Brandt's bat) is the source of this 460-nucleotide long non-coding RNA. RefSeq lists it as uncharacterized. The transcript is spliced from 4 exons. Lineage: Eukaryota; Metazoa; Chordata; Mammalia; Chiroptera; Vespertilionidae. The record is from RefSeq and is a predicted model, not a curated record.
GACCUGCGGUGUUGUCUGUGUCAACUCCAACAGAAGCCUGCGCCAGGACUGCAGGAGCACUGGAAAGAGGACACCUGCUCUGCAGCAGCCCCGUUCAAAUAAGUAGGAACCGAUGGCUGGGCUCAAAGAGGGAAGGAGAAGUCUCUCCGGCGCUGGACAGAGUGGAGCUGCAAUGUUCCCGUGCACGUGUGGCUCUAGAGUCCUGAGGCGUAUGUCCAUCAACACAGGCCAUGAUCCCUCUGCCAGAAAAACCAUCUUCCCUGAAGGUACUACCAUGACUUGCAUGGAAAAAAAAGAGACAGAAGAGAAGAAAAUAAGGCCAAGAGGCACAACGGGCCAGGCCAUUUCUCUACCCCUCAGAAAACUCUCCCAACAAUAUUAAAAUUGCUGAAACUCAGCCUGCAAUGUGACCAGGCUCCCUGAAAAUGGAGUUCAUAGGAGAGGAAGCGAAACUAUUGGC